This 773-nucleotide ribosomal RNA is filed under the name uncultured Fusobacteriota bacterium. RNAcentral's name for it is "bacterial SSU rRNA". It matches the Rfam family "Bacterial small subunit ribosomal RNA", at positions 108 to 896 of the family's 1533-position model. Lineage: Bacteria; Fusobacteriati; Fusobacteriota. The record is from RNAcentral.
GUGAUACGCGUAAAGAACUGCCUUACAGACCUGGGACAACAUUGGGAAACGAAUGCUAAUACCGGAUAUUAUGACUGAGUCGCAUGAUUUUGGNUUAUGAAAGCUAUAUGCGCUGGUGAGAGAGCUNUUGCGUCCCAUUAGUUAAUUGGUGAGGUAACGGCUCACCAAGACGAUGAUGGGUACCGGCCUGAGAGGGUGAACGGCCACAAGGGGACUGAGACACGGCCCUUACUCCUACGGGAGGCAGCAUGGGGAAUAUUGGACAAUGGACCAAAAGUCUGAUCCAGCAAUUCUGUGUGCACGAUGAAGUUUUUCGGAAUGUAAAGUGCUUUCAGUUGGGAAGAAGUCAGUGACGGUACCAACAGAAGAAGCGACGGCUAAAUACGUGCCAGCAGCCGCGGUAAUACGUAUGUCGCAAGCGUUAUCCGGAUUUAUUGGGCGUAAAGCGCGUCUAGGCGGUUUAGUAAGUCUGAUGUGAAAAUGCGGGGCUCAACCCCGUAUUGCGUUGGAAACUGCUAAACUAGAGUACUGGAGAGGUAGGCGGAACUACAAGUGUAGAGGUGAAAUUCGUAGAUAUUUGUAGGAAUGCCGAUGGGGAAGCCAGCCUACUGGACAGAUACUGACGCUAAAGCGCGAAAGCGUGGGUAGCAAACAGGAUUAGAUACCCUGGUAGUCCACGCCGUAAACGAUGAUUACUAGGUGUUGGGGGUCGAACCUCAGCGCCCAAGCUAACGCGAUAAGUAAUCCGCCUGGGGAGUACGUACGCAAGUAUG